GCGCCUGUAGCUCAGUGGAUAGAGCGAUUGGUUGCGGACCAAUAGGUCGGGAGUUCGAGUCUCUUCAGGCGCGCCA
RNAcentral lists this transfer RNA (76 nucleotides) under Abditibacteriota bacterium. Its description in RNAcentral is "tRNA-Arg". It matches the Rfam family "tRNA". From Rfam's summary of the family: Transfer RNA (tRNA) molecules are approximately 80 nucleotides in length. Their secondary structure includes four short double-helical elements and three loops (D, anti-codon, and T loops). Further hydrogen bonds mediate the characteristic L-shaped molecular structure. tRNAs have two regions of fundamental functional importance: the anti-codon, which is responsible for specific mRNA codon recognition, and the 3' end, to which the tRNAs corresponding amino acid is attached (by aminoacyl-tRNA synthetases). tRNAs cope with the degeneracy of the genetic code in two manners: having more than one tRNA (with a specific anti-codon) for a particular amino acid; and 'wobble' base-pairing, i.e. permitting non-standard base-pairing at the 3rd anti-codon position. Lineage: Bacteria; Pseudomonadati; Abditibacteriota. The record is from RNAcentral.